GAGUUUGAUCCUGGCUCAGAUUGAACGCUGGCGGCAGGCUUAACACAUGCAAGUCGAGCGGGGGAGGUUACUUCGGUAACUGACCUAGCGGCGGACGGGUGAGUAAUGCUUAGGAAUCUGCCUAUUAGUGGGGGACAACAUUCCGAAAGGAAUGCUAAUACCGCAUACGUCCUACGGGGGAAAGCAGGGGAUCUUCGGACCUUGCGCUAAUAGAUGAGCCUAAGUCGGAUUAGCUAGUUGGUGGGGUAAAGGCCUACCAAGGCGACGAUCUGUAGCGGGUCUGAGAGGAUGAUCCGCCACACUGGGACUGAGACACGGCCCAGACUCCUACGGGAGGCAGCAGUGGGGAAUAUUGGACAAUGGGCGGAAGCCUGAUCCAGCCAUGCCGCGUGUGUGAAGAAGGCCUUUUGGUUGUAAAGCACUUUAAGCGAGGAGGAGGCUCCUUUAGUUAAUACCUAAAGAGAGUGGACGUUACUCGCAGAAUAAGCACCGGCUAACUCUGUGCCAGCAGCCGCGGUAAUACAGAGGG
Molecule: ribosomal RNA, 529 nt
Filed under: uncultured anaerobic bacterium
Lineage: Bacteria
Description: bacterial SSU rRNA
Rfam family: Bacterial small subunit ribosomal RNA
Source: RNAcentral